This 256-nucleotide ribosomal RNA is filed under the name uncultured bacterium. Its description in RNAcentral is "partial 16S ribosomal RNA". It matches the Rfam family "Bacterial small subunit ribosomal RNA", at positions 521 to 776 of the family's 1533-position model. The record is from RNAcentral.
UAAUACGAGGGGAGCUAGCGUUGUUCGGAAUUACUGGGCGUAAAGGGCGCGUAGGCGGUCCUAUAAGUCAGAUGUGAAAGCCCCGGGCUUAACCUGGGAGGUGCAUUUGAAACUGUAGAACUUGAGAUCGAGAGAGGAAAGCGGAAUUACGAGUGUAGAGGUGAAAUUCGUAGAUAUUCGUAAGAACACCAGUGGCGAAGGCGGCUUUCUGGCUCGAUACUGACGCUAAGGCGCGAAAGCGUGGGGAGCAAACAGG